RNAcentral lists this ribosomal RNA (392 nucleotides) under uncultured bacterium. RNAcentral's name for it is "bacterial SSU rRNA". It matches the Rfam family "Bacterial small subunit ribosomal RNA", at positions 28 to 410 of the family's 1533-position model. The record is from RNAcentral.
GAUGAACGCUAGCUACAGGCUUAACACAUGCAAGUAGAACGCUGAAGAGAGGAGCUUGCUCUUCUUGGAUGGGUUGCGAACGGGUGAGUAACGCGUAGGUAACCUGCCUUGUAGCGGGGGAUAACUAUUGGAAACGAUAGCUAAUACCGCAUAACAAUGGAUGACACAUGUCAUUUAUUUGAAAGGGGCAAUUGCUCCACUACAAGAUGGACCUGCGUUGUAUUAGCCAGUAGGUGAGGUAAUGGCUCACCUAGGCGACGAUACAUAGCCGACCUGAGAGGGUGAUCGGGCCACACUGGGACUGAGACACGGCCCAGACUCCUACGGGAGCAGCAGUAGGGAAUCUUCGGCAAUGGGGGCAACCCUGACCGAGCAACGCCGCGUGAGUGAAG